Long non-coding RNA from Peromyscus californicus insignis, 1593 nucleotides. RefSeq lists it as uncharacterized. The record is from RefSeq and is a predicted model, not a curated record. The transcript is spliced from 2 exons. Lineage: Eukaryota; Metazoa; Chordata; Mammalia; Rodentia; Cricetidae.
GGGAAGGAAGUGCCGCCGGAGGUGGCAUCCCAGUGGCAAGGCACAGCAUCACCACCACUCAAAAAUGCGUCCAAAAUAAACCAAGAUCCAGAGGAAAGGAAGAGGUUGGCUGUUUCUUCCCUGUUGCCUGGGACUCUACGCGGAUAGAUGUGACAGCAGAUGUGUUUGCUCCCUUGAGAAUGUCCUUUCAGCACUAGUUUUCCCCCCAAGGAAGCAGAUGGAGAGAAGCUAGCCUGUUGCCUCUGCUGCUGCUGCUGCUGCUGCUGCUACUGCUGCUGCUGCUGCUGCUGGCUUCCUGCUGCUGCUGCUGCUAACCCUGGAUUCUCUGGAGAAAUGGGACUAUGGAGCAGGGAGAAGUUGAUUAUCGGAAGACUCUGUAGACCUGCUCACUCAGCAUCCCAAGGCCUUCACUGAAUACUCUGAAAUUUCACCUAAAAAGAGUAGCAAUGGGCUGUCCAUUUGUCCAAAAGAGUGAUACCUCCUGAUCCCCUAGUAAGCAGGACAGCAUGGCAGGAGAAAGUGAGGGUAACCGCAGAGGUGAAUAGCAUAGGGCUUCUGGCCACUGAGUGAUAGUCAAAUCCUUCAGGCUGUGUUUUGACAUAUUCACCAGCAUCCUUUCCUUUUACAGACUGUGUGCUUCCCACCUUUCUGUCACCCCACAGAAAAGCACCUGCUCCACUCUGGCUGUGUUACCCAGGAGAGCAGCAUAAUUGGGUGAAAGCAAAGGAGAGAAAAAAGAUCUGCUUCUUUCUGACUUUGCCGAAGAUUUAAGCCUGGAGGACUCGGUGAACUCCUGUAAUGGAUAAAACAUUUGCUUGAAAGAUGGAGAUUCCCUUUUCCAAAGCAAGGAUGACACAUGAAAGGGAGAGCAUGAGCCUAAUGAGAAAUGGAGGACGGGCCAAGCCUGCUAAAGGCAUGCGGAACACAAAACAUUCUCAGCAAAGGGCAGCUGUGACAUUGUUCAAGCUUUCAGGGCUGAAAGGGAGCUGAGUUUUCAUCCUUGAGCCACCAGCCUGCACCUGAGAUAAUGCCAGCAACUCCUCCCACUGGCAGCCGCAUCCACGGAGCGUUUCCCUUCAUGAGCAGCCAGCAUUCUGUCAAGCGACCACCCAGCCAUGGACAUCUGUCCCAACCUAGAGACUUGGCCUUUGCAGGACUCUUAUAAUCAUCCACACACUGUUGCUGCAUUCCAGAAAAUGAGAGUGGGCCCCUGCAGCUGGAAAUCCCUCAGACCUGCUGCUUAGCAAGACUUAGGAGAACAGAACAAAACCUGGCCUGGGUAUAUUGAAGUCACAGACUCAGACGGAGUCUCUUUGCAGACGUGGCCAGCAGACUCCAUUCUGUCUUUUCAUGCUGUCAUAUUCUUUUGUGGAUGUCUCUGUUUUAAGAUGCGCUUGCCCCAAGCAUCACCAAUUGCCUUUUGUUUCCACACUGCAGGGAAGACUGGGCUAAUCCAUGUGUCACUGGGAAACUUCAGGCCUCUCUGUUUGACAGGUAGCAAGCCUGACAGCAAUCUAUUGAAAAUGCAUUUUAGGCGAUCAUUUUUUCCAGUCUAAUUUGCUCUUAAUAAAAUGACGUUGUAGACAAGACAAA